Molecule: ribosomal RNA, 450 nt
Filed under: uncultured bacterium
Lineage: Bacteria
Description: SSU rRNA
Rfam family: Bacterial small subunit ribosomal RNA
Source: RNAcentral
AGGAUGAACGCUGGCGGCGUGCUUAACACAUGCAAGUCGAACGAACACUUUCGGGUGUGAGUGGCGGACGGGUGAGUAACGCGUGAGGAUCUGCCUACAGGACCGGGACAACAGUGGGAAACUGCUGCUAAAACCGGAUGUGCCGAGAGGUGAAAUAUUUAUAGCCUGUAGAUGAACUCGCGUCUGAUUAGCUAGUUGGUGUGGUAAAGGCAUACCAAGGCGACGAUCAGUAGCUGGUCUGAGAGGACGAUCAGCCACACUGGGACUGAGACACGGCCCAGACUCCUACGGGAGGCAGCAGUGGGGAAUUUUCCGCAAUGGGCGAAAGCCUGACGGAGCAAGACCGCGUGGGGGAAGAAGGCUCUUGGGUUGUAAACCCCUUUUCUCUGGGAAGAACACAAUGACGGUACCAGAGGAAUCAGCAUCGGCUAACUCCGUGCCAGCAGCCGC